AAAAUUGAUGCGAAUUUUUGUCUAACUUUUGCAUCAACUUCAAACGCGGCCACACGUGCACCGCAGACGCUCCAGCGCCAGCUCCAACUCCAACUCCAGCUCCAACUCCAGCUCCAGCCUCAGUGUUCGUUAAGAAGUUCGCUCUGAAAUAGUAACAGAAAAAAUCACAUUUAAAUUACGUAUUACCCCGAAAGAAACAAAAACAACAACAACAAAAUCCCCCAAAUAAAAACCCGAAAAAUCACAGACAUCAUGGAAGCAGCAGCGAACAAAUCACCGCAGCAGCAGCAGAAGCAGCAGCAGCAUCUGCAACAUCAGAAGAA
Drosophila pseudoobscura is the source of this 323-nucleotide long non-coding RNA. RefSeq lists it as uncharacterized. The transcript is spliced from 2 exons. The record is from RefSeq and is a predicted model, not a curated record. NCBI's taxonomy places the organism in Eukaryota, Metazoa, Arthropoda, Insecta, Diptera, Drosophilidae.